This 506-nucleotide ribosomal RNA is filed under the name uncultured bacterium. RNAcentral describes it as "partial 16S ribosomal RNA". It matches the Rfam family "Bacterial small subunit ribosomal RNA", at positions 29 to 523 of the family's 1533-position model. The record is from RNAcentral.
AGUGAACGCUGGCGGUAGGCCUAACACAUGCAAGUCGAACGGCAGCACAGGAGAGCUUGCUCUCUGGGUGGCGAGUGGCGGACGGGUGAGGAAUACAUCGGAAUCUACUCUGUCGUGGGGGAUAACGUAGGGAAACUUACGCUGAUACCGCAUACGACCUACGGGUGAAAGCAGGGGACCUUCGGCCCUUGCGCGAUUGAAUGAGCCGAUGGCGGAUUAGCUAGUUGGCGGGGUAAAGGCCCACCAAGGCGACGAUCCGUAGCUGGUCUGAGAGGAUGAUCAGCCACACUGGAACUGAGACACGGUCCAGACUCCUACGGGAGGCAGCAGUGGGGAAUAUUGGACAAUGGGCGCAAGCCUGAUCCAGCCAUACCGCGUGGGUGAAGAAGGCCUUCGGGUUGUAAAGCCCUUUUGUUGGGAAAGAAAUCCAGCUGGCUAAUACCCGGUUGGGAUGACGGUACCCAAAGAAUAAGCACCGGCUAACUUCGUGCCAGCCGCCGCCGUAA